RNAcentral lists this ribosomal RNA (252 nucleotides) under uncultured bacterium. RNAcentral's name for it is "partial 16S ribosomal RNA". It matches the Rfam family "Bacterial small subunit ribosomal RNA", at positions 524 to 776 of the family's 1533-position model. The record is from RNAcentral.
UACGAAGGGGGCUAGCGUUGCUCGGAAUCACUGGGCGUAAAGGGUGCGUAGGCGGGUCUUUAAGUCAGGGGUGAAAUCCUGGAGCUCAACUCCAGAACUGCCUUUGAUACUGAAGAUCUUGAGUUCGGGAGAGGUGAGUGGAACUGCGAGUGUAGAGGUGAAAUUCGUAGAUAUUGGGAAGAACACCGGUGGCGAAGGCGGCGACCUGGUCCGAUACUGACGCUGAGGCGCGAAAGCGUGGGAGCAAACAGG